This 484-nucleotide ribosomal RNA is filed under the name uncultured bacterium. RNAcentral's name for it is "partial 16S ribosomal RNA". It matches the Rfam family "Bacterial small subunit ribosomal RNA", at positions 30 to 507 of the family's 1533-position model. The record is from RNAcentral.
AUUGAACGCUGGCGGCAGGCCUAACACAUGCAAGUCGAGCGGAUGAAGGGAGCUUGCUCCUGGAUUCAGCGGCGGACGGGUGAGUAAUGCCUAGGAAUCUGCCUGGUAGUGGGGGAUAACGUCCGGAAACGGGCGCUAAUACCGCAUACGUCCUGAGGGAGAAAGUGGGGGAUCUUCGGACCCCACGCUAUCAGAUGAGCCUAGGUCGGAUUAGCUAGUUGGUGGGGUAAAGGCCUACCAAGGCGACGAUCCGUAACUGGUCUGAGAGGAUGAUCAGUCACACUGGAACUGAGACACGGUCCAGACUCCUACGGGAGGCAGCAGUGGGGAAUAUUGGACAAUGGGCGAAAGCCUGAUCCAGCCAUGCCGCGUGUGUGAAGAAGGUCUUCGGAUUGUAAAGCACUUUAAGUUGGGAGGAGGGGCGGUAAGUUAAUACCUUGCUGUUUUGACGUUACCAACAGAAUAAGCACCGGCUAACUUCGUG